This 717-nucleotide ribosomal RNA is filed under the name Platysaurus intermedius nigrescens. Its description in RNAcentral is "partial 12S ribosomal RNA". It matches the Rfam family "Bacterial small subunit ribosomal RNA", at positions 269 to 1398 of the family's 1533-position model. The record is from RNAcentral. Lineage: Eukaryota; Metazoa; Chordata; Lepidosauria; Squamata; Cordylidae.
CAGGCACAUAAUUUUUAGCCAANGACACGUUGCNCAGCCACACCCCCACGGGUUUACAGCAGUGAUUGAAAUUANACAUAAGCGAAAGCUUGAUUUAGCCAUAGUUAGAUAAGGGCCGGUAAAUUUCGUGCCAGCCACCGCGGUUAAACGAGAGACCCAAAACAACAACCACACGGCGUAAAGAGUGAUCAGAGUUUUCAACCUAAGGAUAAACAUUUUCCCCGCUGUAAAAAGCUAAAGAAAACAAGAUAUACCUUGUCCUUAUAUUUUCUUUACCUCACGAAAGCAAGGACACAAACUGGGAUUAGAUACCCCACUAUGCCCUGCCAUAAACAAAGAUAGAAAAAAUACAAUCUAUCCGCCAAAGAACUAUGAGCAAAAUGCUUAAAACUUAAAGGACUUGGCGGCAUUCCACAUCAAUCUAGAGGAGCCCGUCCAAUAAUCGAUAAUACGCGUUGAACCAAACCACUUUUGGCCAAUCCAGCCUAUAUACCGCCGUCGCCAGCUAACCUUGUGAAAGAAAAAAAGUUAGCAAAACAGCCCCCACUAACACGUCAGGUCAAGGUGUAGCUAAUAAAGUGGAUGUGAUAGGCUACAUUUUUUUAUAAAAAAAACACGAACAGUACAAUGAAAUUUUGCACUAAAAGGUGAAUUUAGCAGUAAAACUAGAAAGAGUUCUAAUUUUAACACCGCCUGGAAUGCGCACACACGGCCGUC